RNAcentral lists this long non-coding RNA (205 nucleotides) under Scleropages formosus (Asian bonytongue). RNAcentral's name for it is "lncRNA (ENSSFOG00015029047.1)". Lineage: Eukaryota; Metazoa; Chordata; Actinopteri; Osteoglossiformes; Osteoglossidae. The record is from RNAcentral.
CGAGGAGAUCCCAAUAUCGCUUCGUCUUUCUGGUCCCGCACGGAGUUCCGGACGAUCCUGAAUUUUCCUGGCUGUUGCAUAUGGACAGCAGACGAGGCAGGGUCAGCCGAUGCACCGAAGUGCCGUGAGCGCGGCCGAGCCGAAGGUAUGUGGCGAGCGCUCUCCACCUCCAUCACCUUGAGGAGUAGACCAGAAGGGGGCGCUU